UACGUAGGGUGCAAGCGUUGUCCGGAAUUAUUGGGCGUAAAGAGCUCGUAGGCGGUUUGUCGCGUCUGCUGUGAAAUCCCGAGGCUCAACCUCGGGCUUGCAGUGGGUACGGGCAGACUAGAGUGCGGUAGGGGAGAUUGGGAUUCCUGGUGUAGCGGUGGAAUGCGCAGAUAUCAGGAGGAACACCGAUGGCGAAGGCAGAUCUCUGGGCCGUAACUGACGCUGAGACGCGAAAGCGUGGGGAGCGAACAGG
RNAcentral lists this ribosomal RNA (253 nucleotides) under uncultured bacterium. Its description in RNAcentral is "partial 16S ribosomal RNA". It matches the Rfam family "Bacterial small subunit ribosomal RNA", at positions 524 to 776 of the family's 1533-position model. The record is from RNAcentral.